UACAGAGGGGGCAAGCGUUAUUCGGAAUUAUUGGGCGUAAAGGGCGCGUAGGCGGCCUGGCAAGUGGAAGGUGAAAUCCCUCGGCUUAACCGAGGAACUGCCCUCCAAACUGCUUGGCUUGAGUCCGGGAGAGGUGAGUGGAAUUCCCAGUGUAGAGGUGAAAUUCGUAGAUAUUGGGAAGAACACCGGUGGCGAAGGCGGCCAUCUGGACCGUAUCUGACGCUGAGGCGCGAAAGCGUGGGGAGCAAACAGG
This 253-nucleotide ribosomal RNA is filed under the name uncultured bacterium. Its description in RNAcentral is "partial 16S ribosomal RNA". It matches the Rfam family "Bacterial small subunit ribosomal RNA", at positions 524 to 776 of the family's 1533-position model. The record is from RNAcentral.